GAAGUAAACAAUUCUCUUUUUUUUUAAUUGAAAGGAAAUGCAUUCAAAAUGUAGGCGAUCAUGCACACAUCACAAAUGUUCAUCAGACACAUGGAAACUAAGACACACAAACUAAUUACAACAGUUCAGAUUGAUCGACGACAGUUUAUUAUUUAGAUAUAUUAGUCUUCUACAUAAUGGCUACGGAACCCUCAACAACAUACUACAAAUUUCUAAGCGUAACCAAGUCAGUUGUAAAUCGCAUGUCAUUCUGAAGUUGCAUUUUCAACAACAUGCAGAACAACCUUAAGAUAAUUGCAGGUGUUCUUCCUGUGACCACCGACUCCACAGUUCUCGCCACAUUUAUCUGGAAGCGAGUGAUUGUGGAAUGUUCUAUGCUCACUUAUGUACCAUCCUUUGUCGACCGGAGCAAAUUGUAUCAUGGCUGGGCACCUACAACGGCAGGACCGUGUGUUUCUUCUUUUUUUCGGCACCCCCUACAAAAUGUUUGUAGCAAACAUCUAUAUGUCAGAUUUCCUUUGUUGUGGUCAUAAAUCAUUAAUUUUGAUGCAUCAGCCAAGGUUUGUUAUGUCAAUCGGAAAUCAAAAAAUAGUGCUCACGGAGCAGCCGCAAGCUAUCUCCUGCAUACAUUUGCUUCUCUCAACAUUCAAUCCGUUUUUCUGUAUCUAAUUCCAAAGUCAAUUUCCCGGGAACGCAGUUUUACGUAUCUAAUUUGAAAGCCAAUUUCCUGGGAAUGCAGAUUGUAAAAGUCAUGCACCUCUCCAAGUGAAUCAAAGUUGUCUCUGACGGCAGGAAUUACGAUAGUUUCAGUCUUCUUCUCUGCAUAGCAUCUCAAUGUUUUUUCAAGGGCACUCACCCUUCCAGCACAAUGUGGCUGUUCUAGAGGUGCUCGCCCAACAUGCACCCUGUGCAAUUUCCGAAGAAAUCACUCCCAUGCAGUCAAAAUGAAAAUUUUCUUAACUAAUUACUCAGUUUUAGCAUACAGUAGCUACAUAGCAGCAAGCAGUCUCAUGAUUCAACAUUUUUGUUAUGCCAUGCAUUCAAUCAAAAAACAAUAUACUUGAUUCAUGAGCAGAGAAAUGCAUAUACAUAC
Molecule: long non-coding RNA, 1093 nt
Filed under: Triticum aestivum (bread wheat)
Lineage: Eukaryota; Viridiplantae; Streptophyta; Magnoliopsida; Poales; Poaceae
Description: long non-coding RNA (TAES_LNC007865)
Source: RNAcentral